RNAcentral lists this ribosomal RNA (397 nucleotides) under uncultured bacterium. RNAcentral's name for it is "partial 16S ribosomal RNA". It matches the Rfam family "Bacterial small subunit ribosomal RNA", at positions 523 to 918 of the family's 1533-position model. The record is from RNAcentral.
AUACGUAGGUGGCAAGCGUUGUCCGGAAUUAUUGGGCGUAAAGCGCGCGCAGGUGGUUCCUUAAGUCUGAUGUGAAAGCCCCCGGCUCAACCGGGGAGGGUCAUUGGAAACUGGGGAACUUGAGUGCAGAAGAGGAUAGUGGAAUUCCAAGUGUAGCGGUGAAAUGCGUAGAGAUUUGGAGGAACACCAGUGGCGAAGGCGACUGUCUGGUCUGUAACUGACACGGAGGCGCGAAAGCGGGGGGAGCAAACAGGAUUAGAUACCCUGGUAGUCCACGCCGUAAACGAUGAGUGCUAAGUGUUGGGGGGUUUCCGCCCCUCAGUGCUGCAGCUAACGCAUUAAGCACUCCGCCUGGGGAGUACGGUCGCAAGACUGAAACUCAAAGGAAUUGACGGGG